RNAcentral lists this ribosomal RNA (252 nucleotides) under uncultured bacterium. RNAcentral's name for it is "partial 16S ribosomal RNA". It matches the Rfam family "Bacterial small subunit ribosomal RNA", at positions 524 to 776 of the family's 1533-position model. The record is from RNAcentral.
UACGUAGGUGGCGAGCGUUAUCCGGAAUGAUUGGGCGUAAAGGGUGCGUAGGCGGCCUGCUAAGUCUGGAGUGAAAGGUACCGGCUCAACCGGUACAGGCUCUGGAAACUGGCGGGCUAGAGAGCAGGAGAGGGCGGUGGAACUCCAUGUGUAGCGGUGAAAUGCGUAGAUAUAUGGAAGAACACCAGUGGCGAAAGCGGCUCUCUGGUCUGUAACUGACGCUGAGGUUCGAAAGCGUGGGUAGCAAACAGG